Molecule: ribosomal RNA, 45 nt
Filed under: Henriettea granulata
Lineage: Eukaryota; Viridiplantae; Streptophyta; Magnoliopsida; Myrtales; Melastomataceae
Description: partial 26S ribosomal RNA
Source: RNAcentral
GCGAUCCCAGGUCAGGCGGGACUACCCGCUGAGUUUAAGCAUAUC